Quercus lobata is the source of this 3263-nucleotide long non-coding RNA. RefSeq lists it as uncharacterized. NCBI's taxonomy places the organism in Eukaryota, Viridiplantae, Streptophyta, Magnoliopsida, Fagales, Fagaceae. The record is from RefSeq and is a predicted model, not a curated record. The transcript is spliced from 2 exons.
AUUUCGUUGAAUUUUUUUUUUAAACGUUUUUUAAUCACAAGUGAGUUACAAACAGAAAGAGUCACCAAAGAUGAAUGAGUUCACACCAUAUGCAGUAGUGGCGAUGAAAGUCCUUUGGGAGGCACGAGAGGAAGUGCUACUUUUCUUGCAAACGCUAAACAAGUAUGUGUCUUACUGUUUUGAUGCAUCAUGUGAUCAAAAUAAUGUAGGCUCAGCUGCGGUUCUCAGAGAUCAAGACUGGAAUGCCAUUGGCCAAAGAGGAGAGUUUUGAACAAGUUGUGAUAGAGGGUAUAACGGUAAGAACUCCAAGUAUUUGAUAAAAUGUUACUAUGGGCUAAAUGAAUGAACUCACUGUCUUACUUUUCGAGAGAGAAGUUUCAGUAUAUAUAUAUCUCUCUCUCUCUUUCUUUUUGUUGUUGGACGAAUCCAAUCUAGAGAUAAUAUUUAUCUUGUUAGCUGGUUUUUAAGGAUACAUCUUAGGAUUGCUCUGUUUCAAUUUUGUCAUUAUAUUCUGAGCCAAUAGAAGGAUAUGCAGCAAAUGUCAUUAACUUCAUUGUAAAUCCAGCUUGCAAGAAGGAUAUUUCAGCUUUGGCUUCUUCUUCAUUUGGAAAUGGGAUUAGAUAAUAAUGUAGCCCACAACCUUGUAAAAUGGGUAAUGGGGUCUAAUCACUCUAGUCUAAUGUUGCUGUUAACGUUCCCCAGCUUGUUUUUUGGUAAGUAACGAAAAAAUUUUAUUAAAAAGAAAACACAACAAGUACACCGGGGGUGUACUCAGGGAAAAGUACAGCUAAUUCAAAUUACAAUGCUCAAGCAUAUCUAAAAGGAUAGACCAAGGAGGAGAAUGAAAAGAAACACUCCAAUCUAAAAAGUACGAAAGAAAAAGGCUUUAAAUUAAAGGGUAAUCCACUUACAACCCUCAAAACUUCUAGAAUUCCAUUCUUGCCAAAGACACCACAUAAUUCAAUGAGGCACAGCAUUCCAAAAAGCUAUGUUUCUAUGUCUGCUGAAAUAACCCUGCCAAGCUGCGAACAUAUCAAUAUCGGCACCCAUUGGAGUCCAAAUAAACAGAAUGUCAUUAUUCGUAGAUGAAAAUCUAUAGGGCAAAGAAGAAGAAGAUGAUCCAUGGACACUGACCUCAAUCCAAGUCUAUUACCAUAGAAAUGAGAAAAUCUUGAUUCAAAUUCAAAGAAAUAUGACAAGGUAAUAUUAUUACAUUGAAACGUUUUUCUAUUAUGUUAUUUAGUAUCAAGGAAUGUCUCAUUCUUUAGUUUUAUUGUUUCAUCUGCACUUUUGAUAGCUUUUAUUGCUUCUCUAAGUAUAACUUAACUAGCUCAUUCAUGACAUUGGGAACCAUCCAAUUUGAAAGAAAAUUAUUGUAAAUAAAAAUUGGAACUAAUGAAAUAACAUUUGAUAGUAUUCUGUGGUAGUACCUUCCCUCAUUGCUUCUUUAAAGAUAAAAUUAUGUUACCUUUAUCUCAUUUAAUGUAAGGGUGCCUGUUUUGUCUAAUAGCUGGUGUUAAGGAUUAUUUUAAAUUCAUAAUUGUAAUUCUUAGGAGGCUCAAAUUUAAAGCACUCCUCUUCUCUAAUAAAAUUCCUCAUUUACUUAUUAAAAAUAAAUUGUUUGAUUGUUCUCUUCCUUGUGCUAUUCAUAGUUUUAUUUGUCUGUUAAGAUUGAUAGUCAGCAUGGCCAUUAGUCUUUGAACCAAAUCUUUGUCUCUCACAAACAAGGGGUGGAUGUUGAAGUGAUGGGUUUAAUCUGAAUUGUGUGAAUGAUUUGUACUUACCAAUCAAAACAACAACAUAAUUGCUGAAUUCUGUCUAUGAAGCAAGGGAUGAGGAAACUAAGAUAGGGAGCUCUGCUUUUUGACGGCUAAUAAUUAGUGCUCCACUGCUCCCAUUUGUAAUUUACUUAUCAAAAGAAAAAAUGUUUAGCCCUGGAUUGCCAUUUUUCAGGAAGAGUCAAGAAGAUGCUUGGUGUGAGCACUAUUUUUUUAUAUUUUCUUUCAUCUUUUUGGCCAUCUACAACAACAACAACAAAUUCCAAAUAUUUGGGGUCAGUUAUGGAUCCUCAACAAAUAGUGUGGACCUUUAUUUCAUAUCCUACUUUGGAAGAAUCCGAACUACGGACUCUGUUUUGUGCACCUUACUUUCAAGUCAUCUAGCUACUUUUAUACCAUACUAACUCUAUAAUUCUCUUAACCUUAAUCUGGUUAUGAAAAUAGGCUAUAAAGGAAUUUUAAUCAUCUUUCAUUCAUAAAAUUUGAGGAAAAAGAUAAAGCGACACAGCAUGGAUAGAGAAUAAACUCAGUCUGACCUGUUUCCAAUAUCCCACAAGGAAAAUUUGAGUUGCAUGACAACAAUAUGCUACUUUGCUAUUCUUGUCCAUGAGUCAUCUAGCUACUUAUAUAUCAAACUAAUUGGGUACUUUUGUAAAAAAAAACUUGAUCCUAAACAAAAUUAGGACAUAAAAGUAAUUUAUAAAUCUUGAAGUUCGACAGCAGAAAAAAGAAUUAUAGAAUCUGGUUUGGGUGAUUGACAACUUCUUGAUGAUGGACAUUGAAUUUUUGAACAGAAAUGAAAUCAAUGAGGGAAUUUGAUGGUACAAAUGAACUCCUAACAUGGGUUGCAGCAUUUCAUAUGCAGCUUCUUGCAUUUUCAGUCUGCUGGUAGCUACAGACUACAGUGUUAUAGGCCAAGCCGCGUUCAUAUUCACUUAUUUUGCUGUCUUGUGGGUUUAUACAGAAUAAGAAUAAACGUCACAUUGUGCUCUGUAUUGGUUGUCGAGGCUUGUAUUAUGUGUAAAUUCUAGGCUAUGUGUGCAGGUUGAGAAUUUCGGCUAUUACCUUCUCCAUUACUAUGUUCUCAUAUGCUGGAAUACUCGUGUUAGCUGGCUUUUGUAGCAAAUUCGAUUAUUUUUAUGGUAUGUAUGCUCUUUACACAUGGCUUGUUCCCUGUAAAUUGGCUAAGAUCGAUGCACCAUCAUUUUAAUUAAUACUCAAGAAAGGCUGAAGCAAGUUUUUUUGAGUCAUCUUAUGCUUCUCCUCAGUCCUUGGGAAAUCAAGAUCAUCUGUCAUGGAUUGUUUCUAGGCAAGCAGGUUUCCUACUGGAAUAUGCAAAAUGAUGUGUAAAGCUUUCAUGGAAUGUAUUUUUCUAUAUUUUUCUUUGUAGCCUUAGCACAAUACAUAUUUGGAAUGUGACAUAUUGCACAUUGACUUUAAUACGUUUUCUGUUCUUUUAUUACAAUAGUAUCAAGAUUUCUUUGA